This 704-nucleotide long non-coding RNA is filed under the name Helianthus annuus (common sunflower). RNAcentral describes it as "hypothetical non coding rna". The record is from RNAcentral. Lineage: Eukaryota; Viridiplantae; Streptophyta; Magnoliopsida; Asterales; Asteraceae.
UAAAGUGUUACUUGUUCCUAACAAUAAAUACUUCAUAACUAAACAAGUAUACGCAAUCAUAUGUCUUUUUCUUGGUUAAUAAGAACAUUACUAAAGUGCAGCGAUUUUGUAUUCAGCUGCUGUAAUUGACCAUUUUGACCCAUUUAAAAGCUGAAUUAGAUCAACAUGUUCAAAAAUGGAUCGUAGAACUCUGAAAUAGCUUUCUAGGCAUAUAUGGUACGUCUUCUAACGAUGUUCCUAUGAUUUUAUAUGAUUUUUACAAAAUCAGCUCUGAAGUAAAAAAAAUGCUUCCAAUCAGCUUGCUGUCAAAACAGUUCAGCCGACUUCGGACACUGGUUUGACCCGUUUAACAUCAGAAUUUAACAAACAUGUUCAAACAUAAAACGUACUUGUCAGAGUCAAACUACCAUAUCAUAUCCACAAGAUGAUUAGAUUAGUCAACCAUUAACAUGACCAUCACACCUUAUGGAUUCACACACUUAUUCACCAAAGUAUGCUAUUUAUUCAACAACUAUAUUAUUUACUUAUUUAUUUUUUUGUCAUAAUUCUUUCCAUUCACUAACCGUUUGACCCGUUAGUCAAGUUAUUUAUACAAACUAGUUAGUAAGUGAUUUUGAACACUUUAAGCAUGUCAUAUAAAGUGUUACUUGUUCCUAACAAUAAAUACUUCAUGACUAAACAAGUAUACGCAAUCAUAUGUCUUU